GACGAACGCUGGCGGCGUGCUUAACACAUGCAAGUCGAACGGAAAGGCCCUGCUUUUGUGGGGUGCUCGAGUGGCGAACGGGUGAGUAACACGUGAGUAACCUGCCCUUGACUUUGGGAUAACUUCAGGAAACUGGGGCUAAUACCGGAUAGGAGCUCCUGCUGCAUGGUGGGGGUUGGAAAGUUUCGGCGGUUGGGGAUGGACUCGCGGCUUAUCAGCUUGUUGGUGGGGUAGUGGCUUACCAAGGCUUUGACGGGUAGCCGGCCUGAGAGGGUGACCGGCCACAUUGGGACUGAGAUACGGCCCAGACUCCUACGGGAGGCAGCAGUGGGGAAUAUUGCACAAUGGGCGGAAGCCUGAUGCAGCAACGCCGCGUGUGGGAUGACGGCCUUCGGGUUGUAAACCGCUUUCGCCUGUGACGAAGCGUGAGUGGCGGUAAUGGGUAAAGAAGCACCGGCUAACUACGUG
This 468-nucleotide ribosomal RNA is filed under the name uncultured bacterium. RNAcentral's name for it is "partial 16S ribosomal RNA". It matches the Rfam family "Bacterial small subunit ribosomal RNA", at positions 28 to 507 of the family's 1533-position model. The record is from RNAcentral.